UACGUAGGGGGCAAGCGUUGUCCGGAUUUAUUGGGCGUAAAGAGCGUGUAGGCGGCCAUACAGGUCCGUUGUGAAAACUCGAGGCUUAACCUCGAGACGUCGAUGGAAACCGUAUGGCUAGAGUCCGGAAGAGGAGAGUGGAAUUCCUGGUGUAGCGGUGAAAUGCGCAGAUAUCAGGAAGAACACCGGUGGCGAAGGCGGCCCACUGGUCCGGUACUGACGCUGAGGUGCGAAAGCGUGGGGAGCAAACAGG
RNAcentral lists this ribosomal RNA (253 nucleotides) under uncultured bacterium. RNAcentral describes it as "partial 16S ribosomal RNA". It matches the Rfam family "Bacterial small subunit ribosomal RNA", at positions 524 to 776 of the family's 1533-position model. The record is from RNAcentral.